This 1354-nucleotide ribosomal RNA is filed under the name uncultured marine eukaryote. RNAcentral's name for it is "SSU rRNA". It matches the Rfam family "Eukaryotic small subunit ribosomal RNA", at positions 409 to 1776 of the family's 1831-position model. The record is from RNAcentral.
GCCCUUUCAAAGGAGGCAGCAGGCGCGCAAUUACCCAAUCCUGACUCAGGGAGGUAGUGACAAGAAAUAACAAUAAACCGGCUUAUGCCGGUUUAAUUGGAAUGAGUACAAUUUAAACAUCUUAACGAGGAACAAUUGGAGGGCAAGUCUGGUGCCAGCAGCCGCGGUAAUUCCAGCUCCAAUAGCGUAUACUAAAGUUGUUGCAGUUAAAAAGCUCGUAGUUGGAUUUCUGUGGGGACGGAGCGGCCGGCCGCACAUCGCGGUUCGAGCUAGCGCUUUCCCUACAUCCUGCCGCGAACCGUGCUACCAUUAGUUUGGUGGCGCCGGGGAUCGGUUCGAUUACUUUUCAAAAAAAAAAGUGUUCAAAGCAGGGCCACAUGCCUUGAAUAAGUUAGCAUGGAAUAAUAAUUAAGGAAUUUGGUUUUAUUUUGUUGGUGUUCGGGAUUGAAGUAAUGAAUGAUAGGGACAGUUGGGGCGGUUUGUACUCCAAAGCGAGAGGUGAAAUUUUUAGACCUUCGGAAGACAAACAGCUGCGAAAGCGUUCCGCAAGGAUGUUCCCUUUGAUCAAGAACGAAAGUUGGGGGAUCGAAGACGAUCAGAUACCGUCGUAGUCUCAACUAUAAACUAUACCAGCUAGGGAUCGGCCAACGUUAUUUUAUACCGACUUGGUCGGCACCUUAUGAGAAAUCAAAGCAUCUGGGUUCCGGGGGGAGUAUGGUCGCAAGGCUGAAACUUAAAGGAAUUGACGGAAGGGCACCACCAGCCGUGGAGCCUGUGGCUUAAUUUGACUCAACACGGGAAAACUUACCAGGUCCAGACAUAGUAAGGAUUGACAGAUUGAUAGCUCUUUCUUGAUUCUGUGGGUGGUGGUGCAUGGCCGUUCUUAGUUGGUGGAGUGAUUUGUCUGGUUAAUUCCGUUAACGAACGAGACCCCAGCCUGCUAAAUAGCGCGCGUGAGCUUUGCUCGCGGCGAGCUUCUUAGAGGGACUAUGAUGCGCGAUAGCACAUGGAAGUUUGGGGCAAUAACAGGUCUGUGAUGCCCUUAGAUGUUCUGGGCCGCACACGGGCUACACUGGCGCCUGCAACGAGCAUAUCAGCUGGCCCGAGAGGGUCUUGGCUAAUCUUUUGAACCGGCGCCGUGCUUGGGAUUGACCUUUGCAAUUGUUGGUCAUGCAACGAGGAAUGCCUUGUAAACGCGAGUCAUCAGCUCGCAUUGAAUACGUCCCUGCCCUUUGUACACACCGCCCGUCGCUCCUACCGAUGAAUGCUCCGAUGAAAUUUUCGGAGAGCACCUGUGAACUUGGCUCUGCCUUGCGAACGGGAGGCUCAAAGUCACAUAAAUCUGAACAUAAAA